RNAcentral lists this ribosomal RNA (94 nucleotides) under uncultured Chlamydiales bacterium. RNAcentral's name for it is "partial 16S ribosomal RNA". It matches the Rfam family "Bacterial small subunit ribosomal RNA", at positions 340 to 431 of the family's 1533-position model. The record is from RNAcentral. Lineage: Bacteria; Pseudomonadati; Chlamydiota; Chlamydiia; Chlamydiales.
UACGGGAGGCUGCAGUCGAGAAUCUUUCGCAAUGGGCGAAAGCCUGACGAAGCGACGCUGUGUGAGUGAUGAAGGCCUUAGGGGUCUGUAAAGC